This 495-nucleotide ribosomal RNA is filed under the name uncultured bacterium. RNAcentral's name for it is "partial 16S ribosomal RNA". It matches the Rfam family "Bacterial small subunit ribosomal RNA", at positions 30 to 507 of the family's 1533-position model. The record is from RNAcentral.
UGACCGCUGGCGGCGUGCCUACUACAUGCAAGUCGAGCGAACAGACGCGGAGCUUGCUCCUCUGACGUUAGCGGCGGACGGGUGAGUAACACGUGGAUAACCUACCUAUAAGACUGGGAUAACUUCGGGAAACCGGAGCUACUACCGGAUAAUAUAUUGAACCGCAUGGUUCAAUAGUGAAAGACGGUUUUGCUGUCACUUAUAGAUGGAUCCGCGCCGCAUUAGCUAGUUGGUAAGGUAACGGCUUACCAAGGCAACGAUGCGUAGCCGACCUGAGAGGGUGAUCGGCCACACUGGAACUGAGACACGGUCCAGACUCCUACGGGAGGCAGCAGUAGGGAAUCUUCCGCAAUGGGCGAAAGCCUGACGGAGCAACGCCGCGUGAGUGAUGAAGGUCUUCGGAUCGUAAAACUCUGUUAUUAGGGAAGAACAAAUGUGUAAGUAACUAUGCACGUCUUGACGGUACCUAAUCAGAAAGCCACGGCUAACUACGUG